AUGCUGGUUUCAGCAGCACAUACACUAAAAUUGGAAUGAUACAGAGAAGAUUAGCAUGGCCUGCACAGGAGACACGCAAAUUUGUGAAGUGUUCCAUAAGGAG
Molecule: small nuclear RNA, 103 nt
Organism: Onychomys torridus (southern grasshopper mouse)
Lineage: Eukaryota; Metazoa; Chordata; Mammalia; Rodentia; Cricetidae
Source: RefSeq, a predicted model, not a curated record